This 2906-nucleotide ribosomal RNA is filed under the name Escherichia coli. Its description in RNAcentral is "23S ribosomal RNA". It matches the Rfam family "Bacterial large subunit ribosomal RNA". Lineage: Bacteria; Pseudomonadati; Pseudomonadota; Gammaproteobacteria; Enterobacterales; Enterobacteriaceae. The record is from RNAcentral.
GGUUAAGCGACUAAGCGUACACGGUGGAUGCCCUGGCAGUCAGAGGCGAUGAAGGACGUGCUAAUCUGCGAUAAGCGUCGGUAAGGUGAUAUGAACCGUUAUAACCGGCGAUUUCCGAAUGGGGAAACCCAGUGUGUUUCGACACACUAUCAUUAACUGAAUCCAUAGGUUAAUGAGGCGAACCGGGGGAACUGAAACAUCUAAGUACCCCGAGGAAAAGAAAUCAACCGAGAUUCCCCCAGUAGCGGCGAGCGAACGGGGAGCAGCCCAGAGCCUGAAUCAGUGUGUGUGUUAGUGGAAGCGUCUGGAAAGGCGCGCGAUACAGGGUGACAGCCCCGUACACAAAAAUGCACAUGCUGUGAGCUCGAUGAGUAGGGCGGGACACGUGGUAUCCUGUCUGAAUAUGGGGGGACCAUCCUCCAAGGCUAAAUACUCCUGACUGACCGAUAGUGAACCAGUACCGUGAGGGAAAGGCGAAAAGAACCCCGGCGAGGGGAGUGAAAAAGAACCUGAAACCGUGUACGUACAAGCAGUGGGAGCACGCUUAGGCGUGUGACUGCGUACCUUUUGUAUAAUGGGUCAGCGACUUAUAUUCUGUAGCAAGGUUAACCGAAUAGGGGAGCCGAAGGGAAACCGAGUCUUAACUGGGCGUUAAGUUGCAGGGUAUAGACCCGAAACCCGGUGAUCUAGCCAUGGGCAGGUUGAAGGUUGGGUAACACUAACUGGAGGACCGAACCGACUAAUGUUGAAAAAUUAGCGGAUGACUUGUGGCUGGGGGUGAAAGGCCAAUCAAACCGGGAGAUAGCUGGUUCUCCCCGAAAGCUAUUUAGGUAGCGCCUCGUGAACUCAUCUCCGGGGGUAGAGCACUGUUUCGGCAAGGGGGUCAUCCCGACUUACCAACCCGAUGCAAACUGCGAAUACCGGAGAAUGUUAUCACGGGAGACACACGGCGGGUGCUAACGUCCGUCGUGAAGAGGGAAACAACCCAGACCGCCAGCUAAGGUCCCAAAGUCAUGGUUAAGUGGGAAACGAUGUGGGAAGGCCCAGACAGCCAGGAUGUUGGCUUAGAAGCAGCCAUCAUUUAAAGAAAGCGUAAUAGCUCACUGGUCGAGUCGGCCUGCGCGGAAGAUGUAACGGGGCUAAACCAUGCACCGAAGCUGCGGCAGCGACGCUUAUGCGUUGUUGGGUAGGGGAGCGUUCUGUAAGCCUGCGAAGGUGUGCUGUGAGGCAUACUGGAGGUAUCAGAAGUGCGAAUGCUGACAUAAGUAACGAUAAAGCGGGUGAAAAGCCCGCUCGCCGGAAGACCAAGGGUUCCUGUCCAACGUUAAUCGGGGCAGGGUGAGUCGACCCCUAAGGCGAGGCCGAAAGGCGUAGUCGAUGGGAAACAGGUUAAUAUUCCUGUACUUGGUGUUACUGCGAAGGGGGGACGGAGAAGGCUAUGUUGGCCGGGCGACGGUUGUCCCGGUUUAAGCGUGUAGGCUGGUUUUCCAGGCAAAUCCGGAAAAUCAAGGCUGAGGCGUGAUGACGAGGCACUACGGUGCUGAAGCAACAAAUGCCCUGCUUCCAGGAAAAGCCUCUAAGCAUCAGGUAACAUCAAAUCGUACCCCAAACCGACACAGGUGGUCAGGUAGAGAAUACCAAGGCGCUUGAGAGAACUCGGGUGAAGGAACUAGGCAAAAUGGUGCCGUAACUUCGGGAGAAGGCACGCUGAUAUGUAGGUGAAGUCCCUCGCGGAUGGAGCUGAAAUCAGUCGAAGAUACCAGCUGGCUGCAACUGUUUAUUAAAAACACAGCACUGUGCAAACACGAAAGUGGACGUAUACGGUGUGACGCCUGCCCGGUGCCGGAAGGUUAAUUGAUGGGGUUAGCCGCAAGGCGAAGCUCUUGAUCGAAGCCCCGGUAAACGGCGGCCGUAACUAUAACGGUCCUAAGGUAGCGAAAUUCCUUGUCGGGUAAGUUCCGACCUGCACGAAUGGCGUAAUGAUGGCCAGGCUGUCUCCACCCGAGACUCAGUGAAAUUGAACUCGCUGUGAAGAUGCAGUGUACCCGCGGCAAGACGGAAAGACCCCGUGAACCUUUACUAUAGCUUGACACUGAACAUUGAGCCUUGAUGUGUAGGAUAGGUGGGAGGCUUUGAAGUGUGGACGCCAGUCUGCAUGGAGCCGACCUUGAAAUACCACCCUUUAAUGUUUGAUGUUCUAACGUUGACCCGUGAUCCGGGUUGCGGACAGUGUCUGGUGGGUAGUUUGACUGGGGCGGUCUCCUCCUAAAGAGUAACGGAGGAGCACGAAGGUUGGCUAAUCCUGGUCGGACAUCAGGAGGUUAGUGCAAUGGCAUAAGCCAGCUUGACUGCGAGCGUGACGGCGCGAGCAGGUGCGAAAGCAGGUCAUAGUGAUCCGGUGGUUCUGAAUGGAAGGGCCAUCGCUCAACGGAUAAAAGGUACUCCGGGGAUAACAGGCUGAUACCGCCCAAGAGUUCAUAUCGACGGCGGUGUUUGGCACCUCGAUGUCGGCUCAUCACAUCCUGGGGCUGAAGUAGGUCCCAAGGGUAUGGCUGUUCGCCAUUUAAAGUGGUACGCGAGCUGGGUUUAGAACGUCGUGAGACAGUUCGGUCCCUAUCUGCCGUGGGCGCUGGAGAACUGAGGGGGGCUGCUCCUAGUACGAGAGGACCGGAGUGGACGCAUCACUGGUGUUCGGGUUGUCAUGCCAAUGGCACUGCCCGGUAGCUAAAUGCGGAAGAGAUAAGUGCUGAAAGCAUCUAAGCACGAAACUUGCCCCGAGAUGAGUUCUCCCUGACUCCUUGAGAGUCCUGAAGGAACGUUGAAGACGACGACGUUGAUAGGCCGGGUGUGUAAGCGCAGCGAUGCGUUGAGCUAACCGGUACUAAUGAACCGUGAGGCUUAACCUU